This 259-nucleotide ribosomal RNA is filed under the name uncultured bacterium. RNAcentral's name for it is "partial 16S ribosomal RNA". It matches the Rfam family "Bacterial small subunit ribosomal RNA", at positions 96 to 353 of the family's 1533-position model. The record is from RNAcentral.
CGGUGGACGGGUGAGUAACGCGUGGGUAACCUGCCUCAUACAGGGGGAUAACAGUUGGAAACGGCUGCUAAUACCGCAUAAGCGCACAGUACCGCAUGGUACGGUGUGAAAAACUCCGGUGGUAUGAGAUGGACCCGCGUCUGAUUAGGUAGUUGGUGGGGUAACGGCCUACCAAGCCGACGAUCAGUAGCCGACCUGAGAGGGUGACCGGCCACAUUGGGACUGAGACACGGCCCAAACUCCUACGGGAGGCAGCAUG